Molecule: ribosomal RNA, 253 nt
Filed under: uncultured bacterium
Lineage: Bacteria
Description: partial 16S ribosomal RNA
Rfam family: Bacterial small subunit ribosomal RNA
Source: RNAcentral
UACGGGGGGAGCAAGCGUUGUUCGGAUUUACUGGGCGUAAAGGGCGCGUAGGCGGCGCAACAAGUCACUUGUGAAAUCUCAGAGCUUAACUCUGAACGGUCAAGUGAUACUGUCGUGCUAGAGUGCAGAAGGGGCAACUGGAAUUCUCGGUGUAGCGGUGAAAUGCUUAGAUAUCGUCAAGAACACCGAUAGUGAAGACAGCUAACUAAGCUUUAACUGACGCUGAGGCACGAAAGUGUGGGGAUCAAACAGG